Non-coding RNA from Apaloderma vittatum (bar-tailed trogon), 74 nucleotides. The record is from Rfam. NCBI's taxonomy places the organism in Eukaryota, Metazoa, Chordata, Aves, Trogoniformes, Trogonidae.
GGGCCGUUGAGCUCAGUCAGUUGAGCAAGGCGCUAACAGUGCCAAGGUCGCGGGUUUGAUUCCCGUUUGGUCCC